This 191-nucleotide RNase P RNA is filed under the name Veillonella sp. Its description in RNAcentral is "partial RNase P RNA component class A". It matches the Rfam family "Bacterial RNase P class A", at positions 172 to 367 of the family's 367-position model. Rfam says of the family: Ribonuclease P (RNase P) is a ubiquitous endoribonuclease, found in archaea, bacteria and eukarya as well as chloroplasts and mitochondria. Its best characterised activity is the generation of mature 5'-ends of tRNAs by cleaving the 5'-leader elements of precursor-tRNAs. Lineage: Bacteria; Bacillati; Bacillota; Negativicutes; Veillonellales; Veillonellaceae. The record is from RNAcentral.
AGCUCACCAGCAGUCUGGUAACAGGCUGGCUCGGUAAACCCCAUCCGGAGCAAGGCCGAAUAGGGAAGGGUUGAUGUUGCCCGCAGACCUUCCGGGUUGUGCCGCUCGAGCGUGCAGGCGACUGUACGCCUAGAAAGAUAAUCGCCACUGCGUAAGCAGUACAGAACUCGGCUUAUUGACUGCUUGUUCCU